Molecule: ribosomal RNA, 252 nt
Filed under: uncultured bacterium
Lineage: Bacteria
Description: partial 16S ribosomal RNA
Rfam family: Bacterial small subunit ribosomal RNA
Source: RNAcentral
ACGGAGGGUGCAAGCGUUGUCCGGAUUUAUUGGGUUUAAAGGGUGCGUAGGUGGCUAAUUAAGUCAGUGGUGAAAGCCUGCAGCUCAACUGCAGAGGUGCCAUUGAUACUGGUUAGCUUGAGUAUGGACGAGGUAGGCGGAAUUUGUGGUGUAGCGGUGAAAUGCAUAGAUACCACAAAGAACACCGAUAGCGAAGGCAGCUUACUGGACCAUAACUGACACUGAGGCACGAAAGCGUGGGGAGCGAACAGG